GGUGAUUGGCGUGAAGCUGACGGGCUCUCUCUCCGGUUGGUCCUCACCCAAAGAUGUGAUCCUGAAGGUGGCAGGCAUCCUCACGGUGAAAGGUGGCACAGGUGCAAUCGUGGAAUACCACGGGCCUGGUGUAGACUCCAUCUCCUGCACUGGCAUGGCGACAAUCUGCAACAUGGGUGCAGAAAUUGGGGCCACCACUUCCGUGUUCCCUUACAACCACAGGAUGAAGAAGUACCUGAGCAAGACCGGCCGGGAAGACAUUGCCAAUCUAGCUGAUGAAUUCAAGGAUCACUUGGUGCCUGACCCUGGCUGCCAUUAUGACCAACUAAUUGAAAUUAACCUCAGUGAGCUGAAGCCACACAUCAAUGGGCCCUUCACCCCUGACCUGGCUCACCCUGUGGCAGAAGUGGGCAAGGUGGCAGAGAAGGAAGGAUGGCCUCUGGACAUCCGAGUGGACGCCCUGGCAUGCCAGUCACUGGCAUCUGCUGCUGCUGGGUACAGUGUGGCUGUGAAGAGCAUGGAUCCUGGAGCCAGAUGGCCUGGGCUUGAAUCCUGGCUCUGCCACCUAACAGCUGAGUGACCCUGAGCAAACUACUUCACUGUCUAUGUGUGGGUUCCCCAUCUGUAAAACAGGAGUCAUGAUCGUACUGACACCUUUGAAGGUGGUGUUGGGCCUAUUGCUGCUAUCACCAAUGAGAAAAAUAAAUAAAAAAUAAAGUUGUCUGGAGAAGUGACAA
This 737-nucleotide small RNA is filed under the name Pan troglodytes (chimpanzee). RNAcentral's name for it is "processed transcript". Lineage: Eukaryota; Metazoa; Chordata; Mammalia; Primates; Hominidae. The record is from RNAcentral.